UCUGCCCUUCACUCUGGGACAAGCCCUGGAAACGGGGUCUAAUACCGGAUAACACUCUGUCCCGCAUGGGACGGGGUUAAAAGCUCCGGCGGUGAAGGAUGAGCCCGCGGCCUAUCAGCUUGUUGGUGGGGUAAUGGCCUACCAAGGCGACGACGGGUAGCCGGCCUGAGAGGGCGACCGGCCACACUGGGACUGAGACACGGCCCAGACUCCUACGGGAGGCAGCAGUGGGGAAUAUUGCACAAUGGGCGAAAGCCUGAUGCAGCGACGCCGCGUGAGGGAUGACGGCCUUCGGGUUGUAAACCUCUUUCAGCAGGGAAGAAGCGAAAGUGACGGUACCUGCAGAAGAAGCGCCGGCUAACUACGUGCCAGCAGCCGCGGUAAUACGUAGGGCGCAAGCGUUGUCCGGAAUUAUUGGGCGUAAAGAGCUCGUAGGCGGCUUGUCACGUCGGAUGUGAAAGCCCGGGGCUUAACCCCGGGUCUGCAUUCGAUACGGGCUAGCUAGAGUGUGGUAGGGGAGAUCGGAAUUCCUGGUGUAGCGGUGAAAUGCGCAGAUAUCAGGAGGAACACCGGUGGC
RNAcentral lists this ribosomal RNA (577 nucleotides) under Streptomyces sp. RNAcentral describes it as "bacterial SSU rRNA". It matches the Rfam family "Bacterial small subunit ribosomal RNA", at positions 125 to 716 of the family's 1533-position model. Lineage: Bacteria; Bacillati; Actinomycetota; Actinomycetes; Kitasatosporales; Streptomycetaceae. The record is from RNAcentral.